UGUUACAGUUGAACAAUGCUGUAACAACAUGUUGACAGUACUGUUCAUAGUGGGCCGCACAACCUUGUUCACGCCUGUCGAUAUCAACUUGCAACAAGUUGUUGAUUUUCUCAAUUUUUACUUGCCUACACGCGUAAAAAUUGAGAAAAUCAACAACUUGUUGCAAGUUGAUAUCGACACUAUGAACAGUAUUGUCAACAUGUUGUUACAGCAUUGUUCACCUGUAACA
Paramuricea clavata is the source of this 229-nucleotide non-coding RNA. NCBI's taxonomy places the organism in Eukaryota, Metazoa, Cnidaria, Anthozoa, Malacalcyonacea, Plexauridae. The record is from the annotation of a GenBank genome assembly.